This 463-nucleotide ribosomal RNA is filed under the name Isostichopus badionotus. Its description in RNAcentral is "partial 16S large subunit ribosomal RNA". It matches the Rfam family "Bacterial large subunit ribosomal RNA", at positions 1941 to 2596 of the family's 2925-position model. Lineage: Eukaryota; Metazoa; Echinodermata; Holothuroidea; Aspidochirotida; Stichopodidae. The record is from RNAcentral.
CUUGACCGUGCAAAGGUAGCAUAAUCAUUUGUCUCUUAAAUGGGGACCUGUAUGAAUGGCUUUUCAUUCUCUAGCUGUCUCCCUUCUUCCCCCUUUAAACUUCUAUUUACGUGAAGAAGCGUAAUUUUGACAGAAAGACGAGAAGACCCUGUCGAGCUUCAGCUAAACCUAAGUCCCACUACAUUUCCUCUCAGAGAAAAAGUAAAGUCCUUAGAACAAGCUUUGGUUGGGGCAACCAUGGAGUAAAAACAGCCUCCAGUUUUUCAGGUAGAAAACUAUUCUCCUAAAUAUACACUUUUAGAACCAAAAAUUUUGGAAAACGGAAAAAGUUACCGCAGGGAUAACAGCGUUAUCUUUUCUGAGAGCCCUUAUGGACGAAAAGGAUUGCGACCUCGAUGUUGGAUUGGGGUAACCAGAGGGUGCAGCAGCUCUCCAAGGUUGGACUGUUCGUCCAUUAAUUCCC